GAGUAAUCGCUGGAACACAUUCGUGUUGCUGAGGAAAGUCCAUGCACGCACGGUUCUGAGAUGACCGUAGUGAUCGUAUUUCGCGAAUAAAUAAGCGGAAGUAGCUGAAAUGCUAACGGCGGAAGGAAAACCUAAGUCUUUGGAUAGGGUUGACACUUCCUGAAAAGUGCCACAGUGACGAAGUCUAACAGGAAACUGUUAGAGUGGAACGAGGUAAACCCUGCGAGUGUGCAACCCAAAUUAUGGUAGGGGCGCCGUACCGACGGAAUUGAACAGAGGUAUGGAUUGGCUGUCUUUAUACAGUCAAUAGAUAGAUGAUUACUACCCAGAGUACGAGGCUUACGCCGUUUGAGUACAAGGGCACAAAACAUGGCUUAUA
RNAcentral lists this RNase P RNA (379 nucleotides) under uncultured Kurthia sp. RNAcentral's name for it is "Bacterial RNase P class B". It matches the Rfam family "Bacterial RNase P class B". From Rfam's summary of the family: Ribonuclease P (RNase P) is a ubiquitous endoribonuclease, found in archaea, bacteria and eukarya as well as chloroplasts and mitochondria. Its best characterised activity is the generation of mature 5'-ends of tRNAs by cleaving the 5'-leader elements of precursor-tRNAs. The record is from RNAcentral. Lineage: Bacteria; Bacillati; Bacillota; Bacilli; Caryophanales; Caryophanaceae.